Molecule: unclassified non-coding RNA, 80 nt
Filed under: Rhizobium sp. NFR12
Lineage: Bacteria; Pseudomonadati; Pseudomonadota; Alphaproteobacteria; Hyphomicrobiales; Rhizobiaceae
Description: suhB
Rfam family: Alphaproteobacterial ar15 (bases 1-70)
Source: RNAcentral
GGCUGUUCCCCUCUGGAGGUUUUAGACCUUCACACCUGACGGGCCUCGGAGCAAUCUGUAGGCCCUUUUUUUUGCCUUCC